Molecule: long non-coding RNA, 559 nt
Filed under: Mus pahari (shrew mouse)
Lineage: Eukaryota; Metazoa; Chordata; Mammalia; Rodentia; Muridae
Description: lncRNA (MGP_PahariEiJ_G0005515.1)
Source: RNAcentral
GAGAGCUGGCCCUGCCCCUUGCCAGCUGUGAUGCAGGGCAAGCUAGCUGGGGCAGUGCUAGACAGUUCACCCGGGUGAUACCGGUGCAGCUGGUGGGCUGACCAACUCAGCUACCAACCAGGCCCAGAUCCAGGGCUUUGAGUUAGCCCACCCCAACAUCUACCCCAUCUAUGAACUGCUGGGUGGUGUGAAAAGGCCAGUCCUACAGAUCCAAAGCUGCAGGAUCUCCAUGACAUAGGGCAAUAAUAACAGGCUGACGAGGAGAAGUCCCCAUGAGGAUCUAGUAUUAAUGAUGUAGCAGGAGUAGGGGGCCUUGAACCAGAGCAGUGACUCCUUGCAAUGAACACUUGGGACCAAAAACUGACAUCAUCCUCCUGGGAAGACACUUCCUGCUCUGAGCUUCUUCAGGCCAUUGGAAUGGUUAUAUCAUUUUUAUUGUAAGUUUUUAUUUGGCUUAGUUUGAGACAGAGUCUCAUGUAGUCCAGACUAGCCCUGAACUUCUGAUCCCCCUGCCUCCACCUCCCCGCCUGGGAGCUGGGAUCAUAGGCAUGAACCACCA